UUUGAUUUAUUGGUUCAUGGUGAUCCAAACAAGUACCUCAACAAGAAGGAAAUGGUCAUAGGUGCUCAAGCCAAACAACAUAUAUAAUUGCAGCUAUAUACGUCAUGAAGGCUUGGAGAACAUCCAAGAAUGACAAAUGAAGAGGGUACAAGGUUCUAUAUGUGAUUUCAAUAUAAGUAUUGUUGUAGAUUACAUACACUAUGUGAUUUCAAUAUGACAGUACUAUUGUUAUGUGAUUUCAAUAUUAUAAUUACAUACACUAGUGAUCAUAUUAUACAAUUUAGGGGAGAAU
This is a non-coding RNA of Lupinus albus (white lupine), 292 nucleotides long. Lineage: Eukaryota; Viridiplantae; Streptophyta; Magnoliopsida; Fabales; Fabaceae. The record is from the annotation of a GenBank genome assembly.